UGGCAUGGAGUCACACCUGGUAGCCUGGAGCCGGAAGAGCUGUGUCUGGAGACCUCGCACUACCCCCUCAGGGUCAUUUGAAGUACCGCCUACCUCUUAGUGACAGGAGCCAAGCCUGGGACAUGCUGUGACUAGCCCUGGGUCACAGGGUCAUUUACAGGGAGAACAGCACUUGCCAGACUGUUUUCCCGUUCCUGUUCAAGUUCCUGCCUUGGUGAUGCACUGUGACACGGAAAGCUCCUCAGAUGACUGCCUGGCAGCAGAGGGUGAAAUGACCUCAUUCAUCAGAAGGAAGGCACAGAAAGAAGUUCUGAGACAAAA
Long non-coding RNA from Meriones unguiculatus (Mongolian gerbil), 321 nucleotides. RefSeq lists it as uncharacterized. The record is from RefSeq and is a predicted model, not a curated record. NCBI's taxonomy places the organism in Eukaryota, Metazoa, Chordata, Mammalia, Rodentia, Muridae. The transcript has 3 exons.